Long non-coding RNA from Homo sapiens (human), 557 nucleotides. Ensembl annotates it as C-type lectin like 1, pseudogene. Its record names the gene CLECL1P. The record is from Ensembl. NCBI's taxonomy places the organism in Eukaryota, Metazoa, Chordata, Mammalia, Primates, Hominidae.
UUUACUUAUCAGAAGUUUCUUUGCAGAAAUAUGAUUGUCCCUUCAGUGGGACAUCAUUUGUGGUCUUCUCUCUCUUUUUGAUCUGUGCAAUGGCUGGAGAUGUAGUCUACGCUGACAUCAAAACUGUUCGGACUUCCCCGUUAGAACUCGCGUUUCCACUUCAGAGAUCUGUUUCUUUCAACUUUUCUACUGUCCAUAAAUCAUGUCCUGCCAAAGACUGGAAGGUGCAUAAGGGAAAAUGUUACUGGAUUGCUGAAACUAAGAAAUCUUGGAACAAAAGUCAAAAUGACUGUGCCAUAAACAAUUCAUAUCUCAUGGUGAUUCAAGACAUUACUGCUAUGAAAUCCAAUCUUUUUUGACAUAUGCAUAUAGAAGUUCCUAGACUUCAGUGCUGAGGAGACAGAGGCUACAGGCAUCCAUAUGUCUGUCUCUGGGGUCUUCUUAGGAAGAGGCCUCUGAUGAAGAGAACAAAGCUCUUGUUUGAUAUCCCAGCUUGAGCAAGAGGAAUGGGACAAGUUCGUGGCAGCCACCAGCCGCCAGGAGAUGGCUGAAGUAGA